UUAAAUUGAAGAGUUUGAUCAUGGCCCAGAUUGAACGCCGGCGGCAGGCCUAACACAUGAAAGUCGAACGGUAACAGGAAGCAGCUUGCUGCUUUGCUGACGAGUGGCGGACGGGUGAGUAAUGGCCGGGAAACUGCCUGAUGGAGGAGGAGAACAUCGGGAAACGGUAG
Molecule: ribosomal RNA, 170 nt
Filed under: Escherichia coli
Lineage: Bacteria; Pseudomonadati; Pseudomonadota; Gammaproteobacteria; Enterobacterales; Enterobacteriaceae
Description: partial 16S ribosomal RNA
Rfam family: Bacterial small subunit ribosomal RNA
Source: RNAcentral